Non-coding RNA from Cavia porcellus (domestic guinea pig), 515 nucleotides. The record is from the annotation of a RefSeq genome assembly. NCBI's taxonomy places the organism in Eukaryota, Metazoa, Chordata, Mammalia, Rodentia, Caviidae.
AACUUCUCAGACUUCAUAAACAAGGCAUUUGCAAGGAGAUCUGAGAUCUAUCAGGAAGUCAGGGCAGCAAGAUGAGGUCGAAGAUCCAGGUCUUUAUGUGCCUGUUGCUCUGGGUCUCUGGUGUCGUUGGUGACAUUGUGAUGACCCAGUCUCCAGCCACCAUGGCUGUGUCGCCUGGAGAGAGAGUCACCAUCCACUGCAAGUCCAGCCAGAGUCUUUUUUACAGUGGUAACAACAAGCAUCUUUUAAGCUGGUACCAGCAGAAACCAGGCCAAUCUCCCAAACUGCUCAUCUAUUGGGCAUCCACCCGAGCAUCUGGGGUCCCAGACCGGUUCAGUGGCAGUGGGUCUGGCACCGAUUUCACUCUCACCAUCAGCAGCCUGCAGGCUGAAGAUGUGGCAGAUUAUUUCUGCCAGCAGUUUAUUAGUGCUCCUCCCACAGUGAUUCAGCCUCGAACAAAAACUUCCUCUCAGGCUCUCCCCAGCUGCUUGCACUCCAUGUGGCCCAGUGCUUGA